Non-coding RNA from Petromyzon marinus (sea lamprey), 2641 nucleotides. The record is from RefSeq and is a predicted model, not a curated record. NCBI's taxonomy places the organism in Eukaryota, Metazoa, Chordata, Hyperoartia, Petromyzontiformes, Petromyzontidae.
CCAUUAUUACAGGUCACGUCGGUGGUUAAAGGUCAGGGUGCAGCUGUGCAAUUACUUUGCCCAUGCCCUGCUGGUAGACUUGCCUCUGCUCGAGGAAGUUGUAGGCAGCCCCUCAAUGGCAUUUUGGCCUAUUCUUCCAUGGUGGCCAAGCGUCUUGCAAUUGGUUGGAGCACCCACACUACCCCACCACAUGCAGCCUGUAGGUUGACAAACAUUGGCCUCCCAAUUUAUACUGUUUGGAGACCGGAGGUGGAGAAGGGGGGUGGGGGGUUAAGAAAGUUGCCAAUUUUAAGUGUGCUAGAUAUUACACCAAGGUAGCAUACGUUUGCCAGGAUGGGUUAUUAAAUGUAAUUUGAAUUUAGUUAAACUGACAUGUUUCGACCACAGAAUGCCCUGCCCAUGUGCUGCUGGCUCUGGACACCUCGGAGAGCGUGGCGCUGCGUGUAAUGCCCUCCGGUCAUCUGGUGGAAAAGAGCAAGAGCCUUGCGGCCAAGUUUAUCGAGACCCUCAGAAACAGAACGUACCCGUGCGACCGCAUCCUCACGUGGAGCGUGGGCACGCUGUAGUACAGCGACGAGGUGCACGUCAUCAGCGAGCUCGCUGCGCUACCAGCGCACCUCUCGCAGCUGCUGUCUUACCUCGCUACCACCACCUACAUCGGGCGGGGCACUAACACCGACUGUGCUCUGUCCACAGCGAGCCAGCAGCUCAUGCUCAGGUCUGUGCCAGCAAAAGACCUUUAAGCUCCCGCUUGCUUGCUUGCUUGCUCUUGUACCGUUAAUGCCACCAAAACGCAAGUGUGCAUCUGUACGAGUCUGAGAGAUCCAGUGUCCCCUUUGUGCCCAUUUUCGCGUUCCACAUCGCAUAGUAAUGCUGUAAUGAGUUAACAAAAAUAAAUCUCCACUUGAUGUGGCUCAGGGAUCAGAAUACUGAGCCAGCACUGCUGAAAUCCCUGAAAUUUAAAUAUGUGCAGACAUCCAUGAUUUAACCACGUUCUCAUGCGUAGAGAGUUCAGGUUCUCGAUCUAACUGCACAAAAUAAUAUGUUGCCAAUAUAACUCUGAGAAUUCGAAACAUUGCUUUGUAUUUAUAUAGAACUUAUUUCGUAACGUACGUAGCCAACUGUGCUAAUCGGAGGUGUGGGAAGGAUAAACUAAACACAAAAAGCAAUUCAAAAAAAAAUUGUUUUCAAUGUAAUUGCCAUGCAAAUAACACGAAUCAAUGCACAGCAUGUGGGAAAAUACACUGUUAAAAUGUUGAUACAAGAGGUUUCUUGAAUCAACUCUCAGAAAUAGUUAUAUGAUUUCUGCUUCCACAGACUAUUCUCCAACAUGUGGCAUGAUGCACCACUCUGCACGAGUUCCUAAGAGAAACAUCCUAUGACCUGACGCCAAUAGCAACAAUUUUAAUGGAAAUGGAAGAAAACAAAACACCCCGGCAUUAUUGUCAUUAAACAGCACUCACUGUCAUCCAAAUAAACUUUUUUGGCAUUAAAUUUUGGUGUACCCGGCACAGCCGUGACGAGGGACAGAGCGGUCAGUUUCUGGUGGUGGUGGUGAUGGAUGGGCACCCGCUGGACGGAUACCGGGAGCCAUGCGGGGGCCUUGACCACGCGGCCACGAUGGCCAAGGACCAAGGCAUCAAGCUCUUCGCUGUCGCCAUCUCUCCUGGCCACCAGGUUGGCCAGAGCCCACACAGGAAAACUCAUUCGAAAAUAUAUUAUAAAUAUAUAAUCACAAGGAAGGUUGAAAAUGUAUUUGUAAAUUACCAAAUUGGGUAAAGUCGCAUGGCAAAUUUAACUCCCUGUUGUAAAACUACUGCAGGUAAAAAAAGCCUGUGAAACGUCGUGCCUUUGUGAUAGCUACGUGCUAUAAUAAAUGGUGCGAAAGACAUUUAUUAUAGCACAGGGCUAUCAUGAAGGGGAAAUAAAAAAAAAUCGUACAGCACCUCGUACAUGUACAUUGCCCAAAUAUAUAAACACAGGUCCAUGUAUACCUUUGUUGGAUGCCACCCGAAUAGGAGGAGCGGCUGAGUGCCAUCGUGUCGGGGCCCAGGUACAGGAGCAACUUCACAGCCACAAGCAGCAGAGAGUCCGAGAAUGUGAAGACAAUAGAAGAGAUCGUGGACAUCAUCGUAAGGGAGGCCGACCUGAUACACGAGAUCCGUGCGCAGUCUAUCAGCUGAGCACCAAAACACGACGAGAGCUGGAUUCAGAAGCAACCCACACAUUACAUGGCUUCAUUGCAAAAUUGUCAAUACAUGUUUUCUCUCUUCCUUUUUAGUACGAAGAUAUGGAGGCUAUGUGUAAGGAGAAAAAUAAAUUACCUAAGUUUAUAUUUUCAUAUUACUUAAAAAAAUCACACUUAGCAAAGAGUGCUCUAAAUUAAAUCUUAAUGUCGUUAUUCUCUUCCCAACAGUGUUGCUCAUUUGAAUGUGAGCCUCCACGUGGGGAGAUUGGGAUACGUGGAGGCAUCGGGGAGCCUGGAAUUGAUGGGCAAAGAGGUCCUCUCGGAGUUUCUGGUGUCAUGGGACAGAAGGUGAGUUAUGUUCAAAGUGUAGACAUCUUGUUCAUUAUAAUAACAACAAUAAUGCCCUCUACUCAGGAAAGCCUCACCAAGUCUUACAAUGUUUAGUAGGAUCCU